UCUUGGUCAUUUAGAGGAAGUAAAAGUCGUAACAAGGUUUCCGUAGGUGAACCUGCGGAAGGAUCAUUAUUGAAAUUAUAGGUGACGGUUGUAGCUGGCCUUUCGGGGCAUGUGCACGCCCGAGCCCUUAAUCCACACACACCUGUGAACCCAAUGUAAGGGCCCGUAAAAAAGGCCUUUAUGUCUCAUCACCAACCUUUUAUGUCUCAUAGAAUGUAAAUCUAUAUCCUCGCCUUAAAAAAGCGUUGAUAAAACUUAUACAACUUUCAACAACGGAUCUCUUGGCUCUCGCAUCGAUGAAGAACGCAGCGAAAUGCGAUAAGUAAUGUGAAUUGCAGAUUUUCAGUGAAUCAUCGAAUCUUUGAACGCACCUUGCGCUCCUUGGUAUUCCGAGGAGCAUGCCUGUUUGAGUGUCAUUAAAUUCUCAACUCCGAAUCGAUUUGUUUCGACUCGGAGCUUGGACUUUGGAGUGUGCUGGCGUCUGUCGGCUCCUCUUAAAUGCAUCAGCGGAAUAUAACCCCGGACAUCAGUGUGAUAAUCGUGUUGCGCUGUCGUCAGAGGUAUAAAAGUCCGCUCAUAAUGGUCUUCGGACAAACUUUACAAUCAAAUUUGACCUCAAAUCAGGUAGGACUACCCGCUGAACUUAAGCAUAUCAAUAAG
This 660-nucleotide ribosomal RNA is filed under the name Piloderma olivaceum. Its description in RNAcentral is "eukaryotic LSU rRNA". The stretch from base 262 to 416 matches the Rfam family "5.8S ribosomal RNA". The record is from RNAcentral. Lineage: Eukaryota; Fungi; Basidiomycota; Agaricomycetes; Atheliales; Atheliaceae.